RNAcentral lists this ribosomal RNA (1125 nucleotides) under Triticum aestivum (bread wheat). RNAcentral describes it as "partial small subunit ribosomal RNA". Lineage: Eukaryota; Viridiplantae; Streptophyta; Magnoliopsida; Poales; Poaceae. The record is from RNAcentral.
GUUGAUGCUCAGAGAAUUGUUGCAAUUCCACUACCAAUAUAUGAAAUGACAGACUUUUUAGCUUGGAGUUUCACUAAAACAGGCGGGUUCACCGUAAGAUCAGCAUACCAUGCUAUCUGGGAGUCAAAGUUUGGGCACAAUCUGCAAGGUGCAGCGAGUUCUUCCUGGCCAACACCUACAUGGGAUUCGGUGUGGAGCUUGAGCUUCCCAUCAAAGGUAAAAAAUUUUGUUUGGAGAGCACUUCUUAGUGCUGUUCCAUGCCGUGAAAUAUUGGCGGAUAGACAUAUCAAGAUCAAACCAAAUUGUCCCGUAUGUAACAAAGGACCGAAGAGUAUCCGUCACCUGCUUUUUGUAUGUCCAGUUGCGAUUCAGGUUUGGAAACUUCUUGGAGUGUGGGAUGUAAUACAGAGGGGAUUGGCGAUGAAUACUUGCGGGGAGGUUAUGUUGGAUUAUCUUCUUAGCCUACCGGACGAUCAUAUCCAUGUGCUAGGAUUGCCAAAAUUGCGAGAAACGGUGGCUACAUGCUGUUGGUACUUGUGGUGGGAAAGGAGAAAAAUUACACAUGGAGGUGAUCCACAAACGGCGCCACAGAUCAAUCUUGUUGUACGCUCCUUGGCAGAGAACUUUAUAGUAGCGAAUUCACCACGGCCAAGAGUUCAUUUGGGAGGUUGGAUGAGACCAAGGACCGGGUAUGUCAAGCUAAAUGUGGACGCAAGUUUUGAUCAGGACUUACUUGAAGGUUCAGUAGGUGUUGUCAUUAGAGACCACAAGGGCAAGUUUAUAGCUGCAGCAAAUGAAAAACUUAGAGUCUGUUAUGAUGCUUUUACUGCUGAGGCAAUUGCAAUCAGAUUCGGCCUAAAUCUUGCUCGCACAACUGGAUGUAGCAAAGUUGAGGUGAAUUCAAAUAAUUCGGACGUGGUUGAAGCGCUCAGAGAAGGCUACUCAGCUUCGGUACCCAGUGCGAUUUUUUAUGACUGUUAUUUCAUGUCUUUAGAAUUCAGUCAUAUUGUUUAUGAGCAUUGUUUUAGAGAGAAUAAUAAGGUAGCACAUGAAUUAGCUAGUCUAGCUAGAUUCAAUCCUCCUGAUGUAUGGUUGGAUGAUCCCCAUCGGCUAUCAUCCCCUUAA